Long non-coding RNA from Octopus bimaculoides (California two-spot octopus), 1779 nucleotides. The record is from RefSeq and is a predicted model, not a curated record. Lineage: Eukaryota; Metazoa; Mollusca; Cephalopoda; Octopoda; Octopodidae.
AGCAGUCGAGUAGCAGCUGUGUAGCGGUUGAGUGGAGAUCAUCCGAAGGUGCUAGAUAGCAGUAGCGUUGAGACAUAACAGUAACUUAAAAGUCUCAGGGAAACUUUGAUCACGCUUAAUUCAAGAUCCUUAUAUUUUGACUACAUCUCAAUCUCUUUUAGCCAUGCUUUGAACAGAAAGGUCUGAGUUGUUUAUUACAAUGUAGAGGCUCUCACCCGACUCUUUUGAUAUGGCAUCAAACUGAAGGAAGAGAUAGAAAUGACUUUCAAAGACAGGUGUAGCCAAUUUCAGAAUCCCUCCCCUUCAACCUCCGCUCGGAAGAGGAGAAUGUUUUUCAAGCAUUGUAAGUUCAAAGUCCGAAUAAUUACGCCGCUGCUAUUAUGGCAAACAACACCACCACCAAAACCACCAUCACCACCGCCGCCAGCAGCAGCAGCAGCAGCAGCAGCAGCACAAGAAGAAGAAGAAGAAGAAAUAACAGCAACAGAUUUAACAAAAACAAAAUCAGCAGCAGGUGCAAUGUUUGUGAAGAGAUUGUUCUCCAUGUAAAAGGGGAAAGUAGGUUUGAGCGCUGGAAGUUCAAAAUUAAAAAAAAAGUUGCUCCACUGACAUACUGACAAAGGAGAGUAACAGCAAAAGCAACAACAUUAGCAAUAGCUACAACAGCAACAAUGGCAAAGGUACUAAAGAUAAUGCAGGCAACAGCAGCAACGAACAACGGCAGCUAUAAAAGUAGAGACAGCAGUAACAGCGACAACAGCAGUAAGGACAGCAGAAACAGCAGUAAGGACAGCAGAAACAGCAGUAGCGACAUCAGUAGUAGUUUGUCAUUACCCUUACAGAAGUGGUUGUAUGUUACCAUUUUAGUGUCACGGGAAGAGUCAUACCAAGGCAUUAUUACGCGACUAUUUCUGACCUCGGCUUCAUGCCUGAGUUUGUCAGCUGUUUUGCUCGAAGAUGUCCUGUAAGAAGGAACCCAGUAAAUAUCCAUCUCGCUGCCAUUUAGCCACAAACUCUCUCCCCACUAACUGUCUUUGUUCAAUUUGUCCUUUAGUUGUGUUGUCAUAUUUUACUUAUGGUCUCCAAUCAGAGACCACAGCAUAUUUCCCCUUGACUUGUCUUGUCUUCUACCAUCUUGUCUCUGUAUUCAGUUUCUGCUUCGGAUUGAUUGUGGUGACUGGUGUGUAGCAGCUAAUUCCUCGUUAUUCUUGUUACCUAAAGGUCCGGAAAAGUCUACACAUAUCAUUUUGGAAUCUGAUAUCCUCUCCUUUAACUAAAUUAAUAAAAAAAAUGUAAAAACAAAACCAAAACAACAAAACCAAGAGAUGUAUAACUGUCUAGACCAUUGAUGAUUUCUGUAAUCAGUUGGCUUAGAUUAAGAAUAAAGGGGUUUUAGACGCUUGCAACAGAAUGGAAUACACCAAAGUUGCUCAAGGGACAGUGGGUGUAAAACUACCACCAUAAACAGGCUCAGUGAAUCAGAGCGGCUUACACACAGUUUCGAUCUGCCAAGGUGUAAAACUACCACCAUAAAUAGACACAGUGAAUCAGCGGCUAACAUACAGUUUCGAUCUGCCAAAUUAUGCUUAGAUACUUGGAUCGAAUCAAGACUACGAGAGACGACACUUUCCCAAGCUGUCAUACAGUAGGAUCAAACCUGGAAUAAUCUGACUCUGAAGAAAACUUUUUUACUACAUAACUUACUAGGUCUGUACUCUAAUUAAUAUUUCUUCAUUUAUAAGUAGUUUCUCUCGAAGUGCAAUAAAUUUCAUUUUUGUC